RNAcentral lists this unclassified non-coding RNA (19 nucleotides) under Chlamydomonas reinhardtii. RNAcentral describes it as "small RNA Cre_1965". Lineage: Eukaryota; Viridiplantae; Chlorophyta; Chlorophyceae; Chlamydomonadales; Chlamydomonadaceae. The record is from RNAcentral.
GGUCCCGGUAGCGAAACCA